This 375-nucleotide ribosomal RNA is filed under the name Triticum aestivum (bread wheat). RNAcentral's name for it is "partial small subunit ribosomal RNA". Lineage: Eukaryota; Viridiplantae; Streptophyta; Magnoliopsida; Poales; Poaceae. The record is from RNAcentral.
AUGAGGCGCGAUGAACGUUGCAGUUUCAUGUGCAUUUGCGCCAGGGAGAUAUUCAGCCGUGGCAGCGGAAGAGAUAACAGCGAGGAUGAUUCAUGGUUCACAUCGGAGAAGAUGGUGACCGUGAGUGACCUAGUGCGGCGGUUGACCCCCAUGGGCUAUACAGCCCACAUGCCUAACAUUGAAUCAAGGCCCAUGUGCGGCAGCAGCAAACACAGCCCACAUACAGCUCAGGCAACCCACGUGCAGUCCAAUCGUUGGAAGUCGGGGAAGGCAGCGAGAGUUAGCGCACGACAGCUGAUUGCGUUCAUAGUUGAUGGAAUGGCUAAUAAUAAUUCAGGUGACGUGGCUGCGCGCGAAGCGAGGAAAAUCAGGUAA